AAUGGGGGAAACCCUGACGCAGCAACGCCGCGUGGGUGAUGAAGGCCUUCGGGUCGUAAAGCCCUGUCGGGAGGGAAGAAAUGAUUGAGGGUUAAUACCUCUUGAUCUUGACGGUACCUCCGAAGGAAGCACCGGCUAACUCCGUGCCAGCAGCCGCGGUAAUACGGAGGGGGCAAGCGGUGUUCGGAAUUAUUGGGCGUAAAGCGCGUGUAGGCGGUCUUUUAAGUCUGAUGUGAACGCCCCGGGCUCAACCUGGGAAGUGCAUUGGAAACUGGGGGACUUGAGUACGGGAGAGGAGAGUGGAAUUCCCAGUUUAGGAGUGAGAUCCGUAGAUAUUGGGAGGAACACCGGUGGCGAAGGCGGCUGCCUGGACCGAUACUGACGCUGAGACGCGAAAGCGUGGGGAGCAAA
This 411-nucleotide ribosomal RNA is filed under the name uncultured bacterium. RNAcentral describes it as "bacterial SSU rRNA". It matches the Rfam family "Bacterial small subunit ribosomal RNA", at positions 370 to 772 of the family's 1533-position model. The record is from RNAcentral.